This 247-nucleotide ribosomal RNA is filed under the name uncultured bacterium. RNAcentral's name for it is "partial 16S ribosomal RNA". It matches the Rfam family "Bacterial small subunit ribosomal RNA", at positions 530 to 776 of the family's 1533-position model. The record is from RNAcentral.
GGGGGCUAGCGUUGUUCGGAAUUACUGGGCGUAAAGCGCACGUAGGCGGACAUUUAAGUCAGGGGUGAAAUCCCGGGGCUCAACCCCGGAACUGCCUUUGAUACUGGGUGUCUUGAGUCCGAGAGAGGUGAGUGGAAUUCCGAGUGUAGAGGUGAAAUUCGUAGAUAUUCGGAGGAACACCAGUGGCGAAGGCGGCUCACUGGCUCGGUACUGACGCUGAGGUGCGAAAGCGUGGGGAGCAAACAGG